Molecule: long non-coding RNA, 1182 nt
Filed under: Apteryx rowi (Okarito brown kiwi)
Lineage: Eukaryota; Metazoa; Chordata; Aves; Apterygiformes; Apterygidae
Description: lncRNA (ENSARWG00000007522.1)
Source: RNAcentral
AAUUUGGUGUCUCCUUGGCUUCCCGGUGGGAAGCAGGAGGGGCAGCAUGCCACGCUUCGCUGCUGGCCUCGGGUUCUGGUCCUGUGUGUGCUCUUAUUCUGGAGAGAAAGCUUAAAACACACCCGAACCAGGACACCAGUGUUUGCUCCUAGUCAGGCUGCCGAUGGACGGUGCCGCUCUUGCCGUCGGACUCCUGCUCUGUUUAACAACGUGCCGAGGGACGUCUAGAAAGCCCUGGACAGAUGGGAGCUGGCUUGCUGCGUGGUGGAGGCUGCACCUUCCUUUCCCUCCGUGCAGCGGUGUUGAUGCUGUCCUCAGAGCCCAGGGAUUUUCAUCGUUUUCUUCUGAUGCCAGAUUGAAAAAGAGUCGUCAGGCUGUGAUGGUGGUGGGUUGUCCAAGAUGCUAAGGAUGUGACGACAGGCGAAACUGCCGGAUGAUGCGGGCUGGGGUGAGCACCCGGGCUGGGAGCAAAGCCAAGGAGCGACGCCGGCACUUCGGACGGGCUUGGGAUUUGCCUUCAGCCUCCGCGGCGUGGAUAAAGCUGUUCCGAAGUGCAGCGUCCACAGGAGGUAACUUCUAAUUACUUCAAUGUAAACACACGUUUCUGGCUCUUUGGCUUCAGCGAGUGGAUUUAUUCUCUGCAGAGGGAUGAAGCAAAGGCAGUAAAUAACUCUCAUAGGCUGCAGCUGGAUGGCUGGACCUGGAAAGGUCUCUGAGCGUUGAGAGGGAGCGAAAGAGAUUGAUUUAUGAUUUUAACAAGCCUGGCUGGGUAGGGAACCGUGCCUAUAUGGUUUCAAAGUCAGGAAGAGAGAUUAAUCAAAAUUAAAGCUGCUCUGAGAAGGCAUCGGAGCCAGUGGGCUCCUUCCAGGCUAACCGACGACACAAGUAAAGCACAGUUGUCCCUACAGAGACAGUCAAAGGACAGCUUAGGUGAAGGGGUCUAAAUAUUUAAUACCAGAUGGGGAAGCAGAGGAUCGGCGCAAAGAGUGUAAUGAGGAAUAAUCGGGAGCUGUUAGAAGGACUGCGGCUUGUCCCUCUUCAUUAGGAACUGUGCAAAGAGAAAAUGAUUAAUAGGAACAAGCGAACGAGAAGCAGCAGUGACAUUUUGGGCGCUGCAGACGGGAAUCGUGUGCUGGCAAGGGUCGGAGCGGCUUGGCUGGAGAGCGAACGUGUGCCCAGGAG